This 2645-nucleotide long non-coding RNA is filed under the name Linum usitatissimum (flax). RNAcentral's name for it is "long non-coding RNA (LUSI_LNC006257)". Lineage: Eukaryota; Viridiplantae; Streptophyta; Magnoliopsida; Malpighiales; Linaceae. The record is from RNAcentral.
UUCCAACAAUUGAAUCUAGUUUGGUCCCGGAAUAUAUAUAUCUUAUUUUGAACCCGUAUUAUACAUGUAAUUACCAUUACUCAUUAAAAUAUAGGCAGCCGCAAGCAUAUACAUUAAAGACAAACUGACACACAUUAUUACGUGAAGAAUAAAAAGCAGAACCCAUGCACAUAUGCAUUAAGUACUUAAUACUUUUAAUUAGGUGCAUGGUGCCUGUCAUAUUUUACGUAGCUACUAUAGCUAGUACACCGUCGUAUCACUAGUAAGGUCUCUCGCCAAUGUAAUUACCACGAGGAGAGUAGCUGCAAAUGACGAAAGUACCCCGGCCGCCGCUGCAAGUAGCCUUGGCACAUCCAAUGCUAGUGCUCCUCCGCCACACAACCUGUGUGUAAUGGCCGCAAACCUCGCCUUGGGCGCACGUGUUGGAGUUGUAGUCGUAAUAUGCCUUUUCAUUCACCCACAUCGCCACGGAAUACUUCCCGGACAUCUGUCCACUGCCCCAGGCUAGGUUCUCCCCGUAGGGACCACCAGAGUGGAUGAGGCGACAGUCUGCUGCAGCCCGUUGGCCGGCAUAGUUACGUGCAUAGGAUGCCAGUCUUUCAUCCCAUGAUACGGGGGCCACUCCAACCAUGGAGCGGGCCUGGUUGUGGGAGUCGAGGUAGUCUUGUGGAGAGUCUUGUGCGGAUGCAGGGAAUGCUAGUGUUCCAAGUAAUGCGAUUGCAAUGAAAAGGAGUACUGAGGGUGCCAUGCUUUUUCUUUUUGAGAAGAAAAGAUGAAUGUGGGUGAGGAAAUGGAAGACGGUCUGCAUUGAUAGGGUUUUUUUAUAAGGGGAUAGUAAGCAGUACCAACUAGCUACUAGGGUUUGUCCGAUUCAUUUUUCCACAAAAGGGUUUUCUUUUUCCACAAAAGUGAAAAUGACGAGUGUGGAAAAUGGGUUUGAUGGAAUGUUCAACAAUAAUGUUGAUGUUGCAUGCUGGAGUCGUCACGAUACUUAUGUAAUGCAUAAUACGUUUGUUUGCGUCUUGUGGACGUCAUUACUUCACGAGAAGUACCAUCGGUAAAGAACCUCUCACACACUAAACAAUUUUAACUUCUUUCUGUAUCUCCUAAAGAAAUUAGAAUUAGUACUAUUGGGUCGGUCAAUCGCUUAAUUAUCAACUCAAAUCUACUAAUCGAUUUAAAGUUUACAAACAUAGUAAGUAUAUAUAACAAACCGUCAAAGACUAGUUAGGACUUAAAACAAGACAUGUAAAAUUGGAUUCUAAAUUUCAAUAUAGCUCAUUUACCGUUUGAAUCAUCGAGUAGUGAGUCAGUACAUUCGCUUAAUUAUCAUUUGGUAUGCGUGUGGUUCAAGGAAAUAAAACUUGCAUAUAUUUAGUGUAUUUGAAGUACUCUAUUAAUAGCUUGUUUAGAUUAAAUCUGUUCAAUUAUUUAACUGUUAACUAAUAAAGACAUUUGAACUCUAGACCUGCCCUAAAUAGCCAGCGAUUGCCAUUCCGGCCAGCAAGAUUUAGUAAUAUUACCAGCUAGCUAUAUUAAUAUAAAACAAUAUAUCCGUCUAGAAUUACUUACAUUAAUUUGUUCUAAAACUGAAUCCUAAUACAAACUCAAUCAAUUUUAAACAAGUAACAAAUCUAUUGGCAAAUAAUCAUCAUAAAUUUAAUUUAAAAUAUUUAAAUAUAGGAAAAAAGCUCGCCGAUGAAACAUAAAUCUAGUUUAGAUUUUUUAUUCAAAUCGGAUUCACUGGUUUAGUGCAUUUUUUUAUCCUCGUUCCGCCAUCAUAUAGAACAAGAUCUGUGUGUUAGUUUAGACAAAAUACCUCGGAAGCGGUAUAUUUUAAAUUACAAUUUUGUAAUUAUCCAAAUCUUUUAAUAUUAUGGUGGUUGACUUUAGGUUUCAUCAAUAGUUAAAUUUUUUUAUACAAAGAAAUGAUACCCUUUGGUAAAAAUCCUGGCUCCGUCACUAGUUGGUCGACGUGGAUGCUAAUCGGAUACGUAUAUUGGAGAUUCUGUUGUGAGAGGAGCUGAUGAAAAAAAGUCUCUUGUGGGGAGAUAAUGCAACACUAUAUAUUAGGCAGCAUAUUUUAUGAGAAGACAAACUGAUCAUAACACUGUGAUACAGUAUUAUUACGUGAAGAAUAAAAAGCAGAGCCCAUGCAAUCAAUAUGCAUUAAUUAAGCACUUUAUUUAAUUAGAUAGAACCCGACAUCUCGUAGCUACAAGCUAUUGCACCGUCUGUCAUAAUUAGUAAGGUCUCUCGCCAACGUAAUAUUACCAGGAGGAUUGUAGCUUCAAAUGACGAAACUACUCUGGCCGUCGCUGCAUCCAGCCUUGGCUCAUCCAAUACUGGUGCUCCUCCGCCAGACAACCUGUGUGUAAUGGCCGCAAACCUUGCCUUGGGCGCACGUGUUGCUGCUGUAGUCGUAAUCUACCUUCUCACUCACCCACAUCGCCACCGACCUCGCCCCGGACAACUCUCCGCCGCUCCCGCCAGCUAGGUUCUCCCCGUAGGGACCACCAGAGUGGACCAGGCUGCAGUCUCCUGCAGCCCUUUGGUUGGCGUAGGAUUGUGCGUAGGACGCCAGCGUGUCAUCCCAUGUUACGGGGCCCACUCCAACCAUGGAGCGGGCAUUGUUGUGGGAGUCG